GAACGCUGGCGGCAGGCCUAACACAUGCAAGUCGAGCGGCCGUAGCAAUACGGCAGCGGCAGACGGGAGAGUAACACGUGGGAACGUGCCUAUCAGUUCGGAACAACCCAGGGAAACUUGGGCUAAUACCGGAUACGCCCUUACGGGGAAAGAUUUAUCGCUGAUAGAGCGGCCCGCGUCUGAUUAGCUAGUUGGUGAGGUAACGGCUCACCAAGGCGACGAUCAGUAGCUGGUCUGAGAGGAUGAUCAGCCUCAUUGGGACUGAGACACGGCCCAAACUCCUACGGGAGGCAGCAGUGGGGAAUAUUGGACAAUGGGCGCAAGCCUGAUCCAGCCAUGCCGCGUGGGUGAUGAAGGCCCUAGGGUUGUAAAGCCCUUUCGGCGGGGAAGAUAAUGACGGUACCCGCAGAAGAAGCCCCGGCUAACUUCGUGCCAGCAGCCGCGGUAAUACGUAGGGUGCAAGCGUUAAUCGGAAUUACUGGGCGUAAAGCGUGCGCAGGCGGUUGUGUAAGUCUGUCGUGAAAUCCCCGGGCUCAACCUGGGAAUUGCGAUGGAGACUGCACGGCUAGAAUCUGGCAGAGGGGGGUAGAAUUCCACGUGUAGCAGUGAAAUGCGUAGAGAUGUGGAGGAACACCGAUGGCGAAGGCAGCCCCCUGGGUCAAGAUUGACGCUCAUGC
This 677-nucleotide ribosomal RNA is filed under the name uncultured soil bacterium. RNAcentral describes it as "bacterial SSU rRNA". It matches the Rfam family "Bacterial small subunit ribosomal RNA", at positions 31 to 752 of the family's 1533-position model. The record is from RNAcentral.